GGUGGCUCAGUGGUAGAGUUCUUGCCUUGCAUGCAUGAGGCCUGGGUUCGAUUCCUCAGUACCA
This 64-nucleotide transfer RNA is filed under the name Dipodomys ordii (Ord's kangaroo rat). It matches the Rfam family "tRNA". From Rfam's summary of the family: Transfer RNA (tRNA) molecules are approximately 80 nucleotides in length. Their secondary structure includes four short double-helical elements and three loops (D, anti-codon, and T loops). The record is from Rfam by way of RNAcentral. Lineage: Eukaryota; Metazoa; Chordata; Mammalia; Rodentia; Heteromyidae.